UUUCGCAUGCAUAUAACUAGA
RNAcentral lists this non-coding RNA (21 nucleotides) under Caenorhabditis elegans. The record is from RNAcentral. Lineage: Eukaryota; Metazoa; Nematoda; Chromadorea; Rhabditida; Rhabditidae.